GACGAACGCUGGCGGCGUGCUUAACACAUGCAAGUCGAACGCUGAAGCUCAGCUUUUGUUGGGUGGAUGAGUGGCGAACGGGUGGGUAACACGUGAGUAACCUGCCUCCUUCUUUGGGAUAACGCCCGGAAACGGGCGCUAAUACUGGAUAUUCACUGGUCUUCGCAUGGGGGUUGGUGGAAAGGGUUUUUCUGGUGGGGGAUGGGCUCGCGGCCUAUCAGCUUGUUGGUGGGGUGAUGGCCUACCAAGGCUUUGACGGGUAGCCGGCCUGAGAGGGUGACCGGUCACAUUGGGACUGAGAUACGGCCCAGACUCCUACGGGAGGCAGCAGUGGGGAAUAUUGCACAAUGGGCGCAAGCCUGAUGCAGCGACGCCGCGUGAGGGAUGGAGGCCUUCGGGUUGUGAACCUCUUUCGCUCAUGGUCAAGCCGCAACAAUGGUUGUGGUGAGGGUAGUGGGUAAAGAAGCGCCGGCUAACUACGUG
RNAcentral lists this ribosomal RNA (483 nucleotides) under uncultured bacterium. RNAcentral's name for it is "partial 16S ribosomal RNA". It matches the Rfam family "Bacterial small subunit ribosomal RNA", at positions 28 to 507 of the family's 1533-position model. The record is from RNAcentral.